AAAAUCCGGAUUAAUUCAAUAUCCGGACAGCAUUGAUUCGGAUAAAUUGAAAAUUCGGUUUUUUCAUCCGGAUGAAUUCAUCCGCUCGAUGUCUCGCCCGUUCGGCAAAUUAUGUCAUGUUUCGGGCUUGAUGCUCGACCGUCUGAUAAACGUUUUUUAUAGCUGUUUUUCGAAUAUAAGGUAUGCAUUAUGCAACCCAUUAGACAUUUCGUUUUUACGUAUUUCUACAUGAUGUUAAAACUAAAAUAGCUAAUUAUAUAUGUAAUAAAUCAAGUGUAUUUUAAACGAUGCAAAAUAUCACUACAAAAAUGCUUUGUUUACAAAAAAGUUUGGGCGUUCUCAUAUUGUCUCUUAUGUUUCUAAAUGAGUACAAUAAGGAUAGAUAAAGCAAUAGGCGACACAAGGCGACGCGACGAUAUUGCCGAUUGCCGGGUUAUUUGUCCGGACGAUUUAAUUCGGAUUUUUUUAGCCGGUGGAACGUGGAACUUCGUGUCACUUUGUGCAAGCUUUUAUUUCAUUGUCGGUCGAAUGAACGGGCGGCGUGUGUCCGGACGAUUUAGAUAUCCGGAUUGAUUCGGAAUAAUUUGAUAUUCGGAUUGAACGGACGAUUAAUCCGGACUCUUCGCAUCACUACCCACAAGCAUAAACGCCACCGGUAAUGUGAGUCUGGGAGUUCCCUCAGUUCCCAAAAUCCAAACAAAUGUUGGAAGAUAUUUUUGAGUCUCCACAUCUUUCUUACUUUUCUAUAUGAAAAUAAAAUUGGAGUACACCAACAAAGGUUAUGUGUUUUGCACCAGAUUGAAAGCAUCUUAGCGAAAAACGGACCUGUCAUAUCUUUAAAUUUACAAAAGAGCCCCUGGAAAAAAAAAAUAAAUAUCUGCUAAAGAAUACUAAGGCAAAUGGAUAAAAAACUUUCAGUCCAUGCAUUGGUAUGUAAUUGUUGACAAAAAUACAAUGAAUGGCCUCACUACUUUUCCACAUGCAAAGAGGUUAACCAAGGAGAAAUUAAAGAAAUUGUCAAAAACCUAGGUACAUACAGAAUUGCUUAGUACAAACUUAUCUAUACCCAGUACAAGUUUGUCCACUUCUUUGAAGCAUGGUACUUCAAACAGAGAAACUGUCAACAAUUUGGUAGAAGGUGAGCCCGUUUCAAAUUCCAGUAAGAGAUAUGAUUUCAAUUUUACACCAACAGCAGAGCCGAAAUUCAUUUUGCUUAUUAAGUUUUGCAAAUUAAGUUUUUCAUAUGAGCAUUUAAAAAAUAGUCAUAACAAAGUUCAGUUGUAUACAGGUUUGACAUGUAAUAAAUAUUUUGUAACCUUAAUAAGUGAAUUAGUUUUAUACAUUAUUUAAAUAAUAAUUGUAUAGUUCACAUAGAAUAGGCAGAAAUUAUAUGUACCUAUAUAAAAAAAUUUUAUUAAGAUAAGGAAAACAUGUAUUAAAGCAUAACACAUAAUAUAGACACACAUGUAAUAUCUUUAUUAAAAAUUAUAAUUCUAUGUUAUGUAACAUUAGAGCCUAAAAACAUUAAGGAGAAUGA
This 1537-nucleotide long non-coding RNA is filed under the name Anthonomus grandis grandis. Its description in RNAcentral is "uncharacterized LOC126741958". Lineage: Eukaryota; Metazoa; Arthropoda; Insecta; Coleoptera; Curculionidae. The record is from RNAcentral.